AUCAGUGGAAAGGCCACAUGAGGACAAAGCAGCCUUCUAGCAGCCAGAAGGAGAGCCCUCACCAGAAACUGAAUACUGCUGGAAUCUUUAUCUUGAACUCUCCAGCCUCUAGAAUGAUGAGAAAAUAAAGGCCAAGUGCACACAGAGCACCUCACUGGAAGAAUCUGAGUCACCUCAUCCUUCUGAAACAAUUCUGGAAGUCUACCACCAUCUGCACAGCUUUCGUGGCAGCAAAGUAAUCCAGGGAAAAAGAAGCAAAUAAGACUGGCUCAGGGAAACACAGCAAGUAAGUGAAAAAUCCUUGAAUUAAACAAUUUAAGAAGACAUUGAGUGUGGGAGCUUAGAAGAGUGGGUAAAGUAAAAGAAGAAAGAAAACCUCAAAUACAAAAUCAAUGUAAACAGACAUCUUGCUCAGAUGGCUUACCCUGUUGUUACUUAUCUAGUAUUUAAAUGUCCAAGUGUCUGUUUCUUUGGAGAAAAAAACUUUAUAGAAAGUACCUCCUUCAUAGCGCUGUUUAUAAGAAAAUGCGCAUCUGACAGGAAGUCUGUUUUUUGAGGACUGUGAUCUGUAGAGAAAACACUUAGAAGGACACAAUCAAAGUCAAAAGCCUAUACCUUUUGUGGAUAAGUGAUCCAAACCUAAGACAGUUACAAAGAAAAUGGCUCUCAGCUGUUUACAGCUAGACUUCAGGCCUUCUAUGGAUUUCUUUGGCAUUACCUCACUAAUAAAUCAUCACUUGACAUUUAAUAAUACCUGAUAAAAUUA
Molecule: non-coding RNA, 766 nt
Filed under: Pongo abelii (Sumatran orangutan)
Lineage: Eukaryota; Metazoa; Chordata; Mammalia; Primates; Hominidae
Source: RNAcentral